Molecule: ribosomal RNA, 495 nt
Filed under: uncultured bacterium
Lineage: Bacteria
Description: partial 16S ribosomal RNA
Rfam family: Bacterial small subunit ribosomal RNA
Source: RNAcentral
AUGAACGCUGGCGGCGUGCCUAAUACAUGCAAGUCGAGCGAACAGACGAGGAGCUUGCUCCUCUGACGUUAGCGGCGGACGGGUGAGUAACACGUGGAUAACCUACCUAUAAGACUGGGAUAACUUCGGGAAACCGGAGCUAAUACCGGAUAAUAUAUUGAACCGCAUGGUUCAAUAGUGAAAGACGGUUUUGCUGUCACUUAUAGAUGGAUCCGCGCCGCAUUAGCUAGUUGGUAAGGUAACGGCUUACCAAGGCGACGAUGCGUAGCCGACCUGAGAGGGUGAUCGGCCACACUGGAACUGAGACACGGUCCAGACUCCUACGGGAGGCAGCAGUAGGGAAUCUUCCGCAAUGGGCGAAAGCCUGACGGAGCAACGCCGCGUGAGUGAUGAAGGUCUUCGGAUCGUAAAACUCUGUUAUUAGGGAAGAACAAAUGUGUAAGUAACUAUGCACGUCUGGACGGUACCUAAUCAGAAAGCCACGGCUAACUACGU